RNAcentral lists this long non-coding RNA (703 nucleotides) under Elaeis guineensis (African oil palm). RNAcentral's name for it is "long non-coding RNA (EGUI_LNC020171)". The record is from RNAcentral. Lineage: Eukaryota; Viridiplantae; Streptophyta; Magnoliopsida; Arecales; Arecaceae.
UGAAAGCCAAGAUCAACUUAUUCUACUGAAAGCCAAGAUCAACUUAUAAAACUUGCCGCCAUGUUUUCACAUUUGUUCCUUUCCACCCAUCCGGUUCACCAGUUGUUUCUAGUGAAAGCCAAGAUCAACUUAUUCUACUGAAAGCCAAGAUCAACUUAUAAAACUUGCUGCCAUGUUUUCACAUUUGUUCCUUUCCACCCAUCUUCCAAAACCUUCAAUUUGUAUUCAAAUAUUCUCAACUCCCAAGGGUUAAAAUCUCAAUACAAGACCUUGUCCUGGUUUGCUUCUAGGAUGGUGAGGUACCAGGAUGGUACGAUCAAGACAUCCCGAAACUGCCGAUUGCAUACCAAUUGCAUCCCCAAUGUCAAGACCUGAUGGAGAUGGUUGGAAAUGGGAUAUCCUAGUUCAAGAGAAUUGGUGUCUUGCAAGUAUCUUAGGUCCCAGUUUUUUUAUCAGAAUGGUAUAAUAUCAAUGCUAUCAUCCCAUUCCAACGGGAUUUAAAUUUUUUCCAAUCAUUAUUCCAACACUCUGACUUGUAUCUAAAAUACUUAACAGUUGUCAUUCAAUAUAUCCUUAAAUUUAUGCAAAUGAUUCAAAAACCAUGUCAGUACCCUGUAACGGUCAAUGACCAGCUAAGCAUUGUACCAUAUUUGUCAUACCAGCACUAUCCGUGCCCCAAUAAUUUGCAAGGACACAAUUUUCU